This 73-nucleotide transfer RNA is filed under the name Anoxynatronum buryatiense. RNAcentral's name for it is "alkaliphilic bacterium Su22 tRNA". It matches the Rfam family "tRNA". Rfam says of the family: Transfer RNA (tRNA) molecules are approximately 80 nucleotides in length. Their secondary structure includes four short double-helical elements and three loops (D, anti-codon, and T loops). The record is from Rfam by way of RNAcentral. Lineage: Bacteria; Bacillati; Bacillota; Clostridia; Eubacteriales; Clostridiaceae.
CGCGGGGUGGAGCAGCUGGAAGCUCGUCGGGCUCAUAACCCGGAGGCCGCAGGUUCGAAUCCUGUCCCCGCAA